Molecule: ribosomal RNA, 481 nt
Filed under: uncultured bacterium
Lineage: Bacteria
Description: partial 16S ribosomal RNA
Rfam family: Bacterial small subunit ribosomal RNA
Source: RNAcentral
UUGAACGCUGGCGGCAUGCUUUACACAUGCAAGUCGAACGGUAACAGGUCUUCGGAUGCUGACGAGUGGCGAACGGGUGAGUAAUACAUCGGAACGUGCCUAGUAGUGGGGGAUAACUACUCGAAAGAGUAGCUAAUACCGCAUGAGAUCUACGGAUGAAAGCAGGGGACCUUCGGGCCUUGUGCUACUAGAGCGGCUGAUGGCAGAUUAGGUAGUUGGUGGGGUAAAGGCUUACCAAGCCUGCGAUCUGUAGCUGGUCUGAGAGGACGACCAGCCACACUGGGACUGAGACACGGCCCAGACUCCUACGGGAGGCAGCAGUGGGGAAUUUUGGACAAUGGGCGAAAGCCUGAUCCAGCAAUGCCGCGUGCAGGAUGAAGGCCCUCGGGUUGUAAACUGCUUUUGUACAGAACGAAAAGCCUGGGGCUAAUAUCCCCGGGUCAUGACGGUACCGUAAGAAUAAGCACCGGCUAACUACGUG